RNAcentral lists this ribosomal RNA (486 nucleotides) under uncultured bacterium. RNAcentral describes it as "partial 16S ribosomal RNA". It matches the Rfam family "Bacterial small subunit ribosomal RNA", at positions 28 to 523 of the family's 1533-position model. The record is from RNAcentral.
GAUGAACGCUGGCGGCGUGCUCAACACAUGCAAGUCGAACGGUGAACGAGGGAGCUUGCUCCCUCCGGAUCAGUGGCGAACGGGUGAGUAACACGUGAGCAAUCUGCCCUGGACUCUGGGAUAAGCGUUGGAAACGACGUCUAAUACCGGAUACGAGACGCGAAGGCAUCUUCAGCGUCUGGAAAGAACUUCGGUCCAGGAUGAGCUCGCGGCCUAUCAGGUAGUUGGUGAGGUAAUGGCUCACCAAGCCUACGACGGGUAGCCGGCCUGAGAGGGUGACCGGCAACACUGGGACUGAGAAACGGCCCAGACUCCUACGGGAGGCAGCAGUGGGGAAUAUUGCACAAUGGGCGCAAGCCUGAUGCAGCAACGCCGCGUGAGGGACGACGGCCUUCGGGUUGUAAACCUCUUUUAGCAGGGAAGAAGCGAAAGUGACGGUACCUGCAGAAAAAGCACCGGCUAACUACGUGCCAGCCGCUGCCGUAA